This 229-nucleotide long non-coding RNA is filed under the name Homo sapiens (human). RNAcentral's name for it is "HSALNT0029187". The record is from RNAcentral. Lineage: Eukaryota; Metazoa; Chordata; Mammalia; Primates; Hominidae.
AAAAACACAAAAAUUAGCUGGGCGUGGUGCCACGUGCACUUGUAGUCCCAGCUACUCAGGAGGCUGAGGCAGGAGAAUCGCUGGAACCUGGAAGGUGGAGGCUGCAGUGAGCUGAGAUCGCGCCACUGCACUCCAGCCUGGGUGACAGAGUGAGACUCCAUCUCAAAAAUAUAAAAUAAAAUAAUAACAAAACAUAUGCUAUGAUGGGAAACCACCUGCUGAAUCAACA